UACAGAGGUCUCAAGCGUUGUUCGGAUUCAUUGGGCGUAAAGGGUGUGUAGGUGGCGCGCUAAGUCGGGUGUGAAAUUUCGGAGCUUAACUCCGAAACUGCAUUCGAUACUGGCGUGCUUGAGGACUGGAGAGGAGACUGGAAUUUACGGUGUAGCAGUGAAAUGCGCAGAUAUCAGGAAGAACACCUAUGGCGAAGGCAGCUCUCUGGGACGGUACUGACGCUGAGACGCGAAAGCGUGGGGAGCGAACAGG
This 253-nucleotide ribosomal RNA is filed under the name uncultured bacterium. Its description in RNAcentral is "partial 16S ribosomal RNA". It matches the Rfam family "Bacterial small subunit ribosomal RNA", at positions 524 to 776 of the family's 1533-position model. The record is from RNAcentral.